RNAcentral lists this ribosomal RNA (253 nucleotides) under uncultured bacterium. Its description in RNAcentral is "partial 16S ribosomal RNA". It matches the Rfam family "Bacterial small subunit ribosomal RNA", at positions 524 to 776 of the family's 1533-position model. The record is from RNAcentral.
UACGUAGGCAGCAAGCGUUGUUCGGAGUUACUGGGCGUAAAGGGUGUGUAGGCGGUUGUUUAAGUUUGGUGUGAAAUCUCCCGGCUCAACUGGGAGGGUGCGCCGAAAACUGCGAGGCUGGAGUGUGGGAAAGGUAGGCGGAAUUCCUGGUGUAGCGGUGAAAUGCGUAGAUAUCAGGAGGAACACCGGCGGUGUAGACGGCUUACUAGACCAUGACUGACGCUGAGGCACGAAAGCGUGGGUAGCAAACAGG